GCUGGGCAUGGUGGCGCAUGCCUAUAGUCCUAGCUACUUGGGAGGCUGAGACAGGAGAAUAGUUUGAACCCAGGAGGUGGAGGUUGCAGUGAGCUGAGAUUGUGCCACUGCACUCCAGCCUGGGUGACAGAGCGAGACUCUGUCUCAA
Unclassified non-coding RNA from Papio anubis (olive baboon), 148 nucleotides. It matches the Rfam family "Metazoan signal recognition particle RNA". Rfam says of the family: The signal recognition particle (SRP) is a universally conserved ribonucleoprotein. It is involved in the co-translational targeting of proteins to membranes. Lineage: Eukaryota; Metazoa; Chordata; Mammalia; Primates; Cercopithecidae. The record is from Ensembl.